Molecule: unclassified non-coding RNA, 946 nt
Filed under: uncultured Bordetella sp.
Lineage: Bacteria; Pseudomonadati; Pseudomonadota; Betaproteobacteria; Burkholderiales; Alcaligenaceae
Description: partial 16S-23S ribosomal RNA intergenic spacer
Rfam family: Bacterial small subunit ribosomal RNA
Source: RNAcentral
UCAAGAUUACUGGGCGUAAAGCGUGCACCAGGCGGUUCGGAAAGAAAGAUGUGAAAUCCCAGAGCUUAACUUUGGAACUGCAUUUUUAACUACCGAGCUAGAGUGUGUCAGAGGAGGUGGAAUUCCGCGUGUAGCAGUGCAAGUGCGUAGAUAUGCCCGGAGGAACACCGAUAGCGAAGGCAGCCUCCUGGGAUAACACUGACGCUCAUGCACGAAAGCGUGGGGAGCAAACAGGAUUAGAUACCCUGGUAGUCCACGCCUAAACGAUGUCAACUAGCUGUUGGGGCCUUCGGGCCUUGGUAGCGCAGCUAACGCGUGAAGUUGACCGCCUGGGGAGUACGGUCGCAAGAUUAAAACUCAAAGAUUGACGGGGACCCGCACAAGCGGUGGAUGAUGUGGAUUAAUUCGAUGCAACGCGAAAAACCUUACCUACCCUUGACAUGUCUGGAAUCCCGAAGAGAUUUGGGAGUGCUCGCAAGAGAACCGGAACACAGGUGCUGCAUGGCUGUCGUCAGCUCGUGUCGUGAGAUGUUGGGUUAAGUCCCGCAACGAGCGCAACCCUUGUCAUUAGUUGCUACGAAAGGGCACUCUAAUGAGACUGCCGGUGACAAACCGGAGGAAGGUGGGGAUGACGUCAAGUCCUCAUGGCCCUUAUGGGUAGGGCUUCACGUCAUACAAUGGUCGGGACAGAGGGUCGCCAACCCGCGAGGGGGAGCCAAUCCCAGAAACCCGAUCGUAGUCCGGAUCGCAGUCUGCAACUCGACCGCGUGAAGUCGGAAUCGCUAGUAAUCGCGGAUCAGCAUGUCGCGGUGAAUACGUUCCCGGGUCUUGUACACACCGCCCGUCACACCAUGGGAGUGGGUUUUACCAGAAGUAGUUAGCCUAACCGUAAGAGGGCGAUUACCACGGUAGGAUUCAUGACUGGGGUGAAGUCGUAACAAGGUAA